GGAUGUAAGGGUGGUGUGGCUGCAACAUCUGACUGAGGCUGCAGCGGUCCCCAGGGUUGACUCAGCUGAUCCAGCUGGCUAGGUGGGUGUGCCCUCCUGCCUCACCACUGCGCGUACAUCCCUCCUGAAACUGCAUGCUUGGUUGAAGAAGACAACCUUCCCCAGUGGAAGAGGGCCAUUGUUUGGUUAAGGGUAUAUAAGUACCUGUAUUCCCCUGCUAGAACCUCCAAACAAGCUCUCAAGGUCCAUUUGUAGGAGAACAUAGGGCAGUGAAGCUUCUAAGACUCCAGACACAUCCAAAUGAGGUGAUGCAUGUGGCAGUCUGCUUUUUUUU
Unclassified non-coding RNA from Cebus imitator (Panamanian white-faced capuchin), 334 nucleotides. Its record names the gene 7SK. It matches the Rfam family "7SK RNA". From Rfam's summary of the family: 7SK was discovered as an abundant small nuclear RNA in the mid-70s but a possible function has only recently been suggested. Two independent studies have found that 7SK RNA binds the CDK9/cyclin T complex (known as elongation factor P-TEFb). Lineage: Eukaryota; Metazoa; Chordata; Mammalia; Primates; Cebidae. The record is from Ensembl.